Molecule: non-coding RNA, 131 nt
Organism: Nerophis lumbriciformis (worm pipefish)
Lineage: Eukaryota; Metazoa; Chordata; Actinopteri; Syngnathiformes; Syngnathidae
Source: RefSeq, a predicted model, not a curated record
ACUGGCUGAAAAUGACCUCAGAUGUGUCUAUGAUCUGGGGUCAGAUAACUGUGCCUAAAGUAUUGUGGUGCAUUAAGCUUAUCUUGUUUGCUUUCUAGCAACAACGAGAUAAAGCCUAUGCACCAACAUGG